This 253-nucleotide ribosomal RNA is filed under the name uncultured bacterium. RNAcentral describes it as "partial 16S ribosomal RNA". It matches the Rfam family "Bacterial small subunit ribosomal RNA", at positions 524 to 776 of the family's 1533-position model. The record is from RNAcentral.
UACAGAGGGGGCAAGCGUUGUUCGGAAUUACUGGGCGUAAAGGGCGCGUAGGCGGCCUUCUAAGUCAGACGUGAAAUCCCUCGGCUCAACCGGGGAACUGCGUCUGAGACUGGAAGGCUUGAAUCCGGGAGAGGGAUGUGGAAUUCCAGGUGUAGCGGUGAAAUUCGUAGAUAUUCGCAAGAACACCAGUGGCGAAGGCGGCUCACUGGCCCGAUACUGACGCUGAGGUGCGAAAGCGUGGGGAGCAAACAGG